Long non-coding RNA from Oxyura jamaicensis (ruddy duck), 245 nucleotides. RefSeq lists it as uncharacterized. Lineage: Eukaryota; Metazoa; Chordata; Aves; Anseriformes; Anatidae. The record is from RefSeq and is a predicted model, not a curated record. The transcript has 3 exons.
CAAAAAUAAAGAUUUGACCUAAUUUUUUGGUAAUGUCUACAAUGUUGGCUAACUAUCAAUGACUUUUGCUUUGUUUGUACUAUAUUAAAAUGUCCUAUUGAUGAUGUGUACUGCUUUUAAUUUUUUUCAUCCAUGCCUAACUUUGCUCUUCUAUGUCAACUUUUUAUCUUCGAACUGCAGAAGUUGUGUUGCCAAAAAUGGAUGAAAUGGAGAAGAUCCAUAGAUGCCAAAGAUGUUGGAAAGAU